GCAAGUCGAGCGGACAGAAGGGAGCUUGCUCCCGGAUGUUAGCGGCGGACGGGUGAGUAACACGUGGGUAACCUGCCUGUAAGACUGGGAUAACUCCGGGAAACCGGAGCUAAUACCGGAUAGUUCCUUGAACCGCAUGGUUCAAGGAUGAAAGACGGUUUCGGCUGUCACUUACAGAUGGACCCGCGGCGCAUUAGCUAGUUGGUGGGGUAAUGGCUCACCAAGGCGACGAUGCGUAGCCGACCUGAGAGGGUGAUCGGCCACACUGGGACUGAGACACGGCCCAGACUCCUACGGGAGGCAGCAGUAGGGAAUCUUCCGCAAUGGACGAAAGUCUGACGGAGCAACGCCGCGUGAGUGAUGAAGGUUUUCGGAUCGUAAAGCUCUGUUGUUAGGGAAGAACAAGUGCGAGAGUAACUGCUCGCACCUUGACGGUACCUAACCAGAAAGCCACGGCUAACUACGUGCCAGCAGCCGCGGUAAUACGUAGGUGGCAAGCGUUGUCCGGAAUUAUUGGGCGUAAAGGGCUCGCAGGCGGUUUCUUAAGUCUGAUGUGAAAGCCCCCGGCUCAACCGGGGAGGGUCAUUGGAAACUGGGAAACUUGAGUGCAGAAGAGGAGAGUGGAAUUCCACGUGUAGCGGUGAAAUGCGUAGAGAUGUGGAGGAACACCAGUGGCGAAGGCGACUCUCUGGUCUGUAA
RNAcentral lists this ribosomal RNA (699 nucleotides) under Bacillus sp. YIM 94068. RNAcentral's name for it is "bacterial SSU rRNA". It matches the Rfam family "Bacterial small subunit ribosomal RNA", at positions 57 to 739 of the family's 1533-position model. Lineage: Bacteria; Bacillati; Bacillota; Bacilli; Caryophanales; Bacillaceae. The record is from RNAcentral.